Molecule: ribosomal RNA, 254 nt
Filed under: uncultured bacterium
Lineage: Bacteria
Description: partial 16S ribosomal RNA
Rfam family: Bacterial small subunit ribosomal RNA
Source: RNAcentral
UACGAAGGGGGCUAGCGUUGCUCGGAAUCACUGGGCGUAAAGGGUGCGUAGGCGGGUCUUUAAGUCAGGGGUGAAAUCCUGGAGCUCAACUCCAGAACUGCCUUUGAUACUGAAGAUCUUGAGUUCGGGAGAGGUGAGUGGAACUGCGAGUGUAGAGGUGAAAUUCGUAGAUAUUGCCAAGAACACCAGUGGCGAAGGCGGCUCACUGGCCCGAUACUGACGCUGAGGCACGAAAGCGUGGGGAGCAAACAGGG